Molecule: unclassified non-coding RNA, 271 nt
Filed under: Hevea brasiliensis (rubber tree)
Lineage: Eukaryota; Viridiplantae; Streptophyta; Magnoliopsida; Malpighiales; Euphorbiaceae
Source: RNAcentral
GUUUUCAAUUCUCUAUAAUUGAUACGUCAAGGUAUUCCGUAGUGUUUGAAAUUGAUUUUUGCUUUCUUGAGAUUAUAAACCAAACAUGUUCAUGGGUUUCAAGACAUCGUUCUUGAAAUUCGCAUCAAUUUUAAUAUCAGAGCCUUGUCUCCAAAUCAGGUUUUAUCAAUCCUUUGUGUUUUCCUUUUGUUCUGUGUUCAUCGUACUAUUUCAUUUUGUGACUUGUUCAUCAAUUCCUUAUUUCUUUAUGUUUUGCAUUUUCUUCAGUAAU